GGCCUCAGCCAUAUCACCCUGCAGUCCAAGACCAGUUACUCACUGAAGCUAAGCAGCGAUGAGCCUGGUCAGUAGCUGGACGACCACAUUGGCAAACUAGGUUAAUGAGGCCA
Molecule: ribosomal RNA, 113 nt
Filed under: Danio rerio (zebrafish)
Lineage: Eukaryota; Metazoa; Chordata; Actinopteri; Cypriniformes; Danionidae
Source: RNAcentral